Molecule: long non-coding RNA, 274 nt
Organism: Etheostoma cragini (Arkansas darter)
Lineage: Eukaryota; Metazoa; Chordata; Actinopteri; Perciformes; Percidae
Exons: 3
Source: RefSeq, a predicted model, not a curated record
UUUUCCCUCUUCAGCACAGAGCUCCUAGCCCUGGUUGACACCAGACCCUUCUCAGUUGUAAUUGAGAGCGGGUCUGGGGAAUGUUCAUUCACAGCUCAUUUACAAAGGGGCGUCACCAACGGACGACGCUCAAAUGCCUCCGGGCGCAAUUGGAUAAACCUAAAACCAAUCAGAGCAAUGAAGGAGGUGACGUAUGCGGAGCGACUGAAAUACAUCUUAACCAGCGAGCAUGUUGCAGAGCCCAUUCACAUGAAUUCGCUUCACCAUCGUCACC